Molecule: ribosomal RNA, 459 nt
Filed under: uncultured bacterium
Lineage: Bacteria
Description: partial 16S ribosomal RNA
Rfam family: Bacterial small subunit ribosomal RNA
Source: RNAcentral
CCUACGGGUGGCAGCAGUGAGGAAUAUUGGUCAAUGGCCGGAAGGCUGAACCAGCCAAGCCGCGUGAAGGACGAAGGUGCCAAGCAUUGUAAACUUCUUUUGUCAAGGGACAAAAUCAGGCUCGAGAGCCUGACCGAGGGUACUUGAAGAAAAAGCAUCGGCUAACUCCGUGCCCGCAGCGGCGGUAAUACGGAGCAUGCGCGCGUUAUCCGGUUUUAUUGGGUUUAAAGGGUGCGUAGGCGGACUGUUAAGUCAGCGGUAAAACCUCGGGGCUCAAACCCGGCGAGCCGUUGAAACUGGGUGUCUUGAGAUGUCGAGAGGUAUGCGGAAUGCGCAGUGUAGCGGUGAAAUGCUUAGAUAUUGCGCAGAACUCCGAUUGCGAAGGCAGCAUACCGGCGGCGAUCUGACGCUGAGGCACGAAAGCGUGGGUAUCGAACAGGAUUAGAUACCCUAGUAGUC